UUAAGUUCAGCGGGUAUCCCUACCUGAUCCGAGGUCAACCUGAGAAAAUUUCCCUGCGAAGGGAGCAGACCGUGGCCCGCCGACCCUGGUUCGGCACGUGCUCGGUUAAGAAGCUCAGUGUACCGGGGGUCAGACAAAGCCGCCGUCAUUGUCUUUGGGAGGGGUCGGGCGAAGCCCAACCGACCCUCCAAGGCCAAACC
RNAcentral lists this unclassified non-coding RNA (200 nucleotides) under Capronia sp. RNAcentral describes it as "partial internal transcribed spacer 2". The record is from RNAcentral. Lineage: Eukaryota; Fungi; Ascomycota; Eurotiomycetes; Chaetothyriales; Herpotrichiellaceae.